GAUGAAGACGUAGCGAAAUGCGAUAAGUAAUGUGAAUUGCAGAAUUCAGUGAAUCAUCGAAUCUUUGAACGCACCUUGCGCUCCUUGGAAUUCCGAGGAGCAUGCCUGUUUGAGUGUCAUUAAUAUAUCAACCUUCUCUUUUUUGAGUUGUUUGGAUGUGGGGGUUUGCUGGCCUCUUAAAUGAUUCAGCUCCCCUGAAAUGCAUUAGCAGAACAACCUGUUCAUUGGCGUGAUAAUUAUCUAUGCUAUUGAAUGUGAGGGCAGUUCAGCUUUCUAACCGUCCUUGGACAAUUCAUCAUUAAUGUGACCUCAAAUCAGGUAGGACUACCCGCUGAACUUAAGCAUAUCAAUAAGCGGAGGA
Molecule: unclassified non-coding RNA, 361 nt
Filed under: soil metagenome
Description: partial contains 5.8S ribosomal RNA, internal transcribed spacer 2, and large subunit ribosomal RNA
Rfam family: 5.8S ribosomal RNA (bases 1-119)
Source: RNAcentral